AGCAGCCGCGGUAAUUCCAGCUCCAAUAGCGUAUAUUAAAGUUGUUGCAGUUAAAAAGCUCGUAGUUGAAUUUCGGGAUCAAUAUGUCGGUCGUGCCUUCGGUACGUACUGGCAUCAUUGAUUUCUCCCUUCUGACGAACCAUGAUGUCAUUAAUUUGGUGUCAUGGGGAGUCAGGACUGUUACUUUGAAAAAUUAGAGUGUUUAAAGCAGGCUCACGCUUGAAUACAUUAGCAUGGAAUAAUGAAAUAGGACGUUUGAUCCUAUUUUGUUGGUUUCUAGGAUCGACGUAAUGAUUAAUAGGGAUAGUUGGGGCAUUAGUAUUCAAUUGUCAGAGGUGAAAUUCUUGGAUUUAUUGAAGACUAACUACUGCGAAAGCAUUUGCCAAGGAUAGUUUUCAUUAAUCAAGAACGAAAGUUAGGGGAUCGAAGACGAUCAGACGCCGUCGUAGU
This 450-nucleotide ribosomal RNA is filed under the name uncultured Glomeromycotina. Its description in RNAcentral is "SSU rRNA". It matches the Rfam family "Eukaryotic small subunit ribosomal RNA", at positions 569 to 1024 of the family's 1831-position model. The record is from RNAcentral. Lineage: Eukaryota; Fungi; Glomeromycota.